This 460-nucleotide ribosomal RNA is filed under the name uncultured bacterium. RNAcentral describes it as "partial 16S ribosomal RNA". It matches the Rfam family "Bacterial small subunit ribosomal RNA", at positions 338 to 795 of the family's 1533-position model. The record is from RNAcentral.
CCUACGGGAGGCAGCAGUGAGGAAUAUUGGUCAAUGGACGAGAGUCUGAACCAGCCAAGUAGCGUGAAGGAUGACUGCCCUAUGGGUUGUAAACUUCUUUUAUAUGGGAAUAAAAUGUUCCACGUGUGGGAUUUUGUAUGUACCAUAUGAAUAAGGAUCGGCUAACUCCGUUCCAGCAGCCGCGGUAAUACGGAGGAUCCGAGCGUUAUCCGGAUUUAUUGGGUUUAAAGGGAGCGUAGGUGGAUUGUUAAGUCAGUUGUGAAAGUUUGCGGCUUAACCGUAAAAUUGCAGUUGAUACUGGCAGUCUUGAGUACAGUAGAGGUGGGCGGAAUUCGUGGUGUAGCGGUGAAAUGCUUAGAUAUCACGAAGAACUCCGAUUGCGAAGGCAGUUCACUGGACUGCAACUGACACUGAGGCUCGAAAGUGUGGGUAUCAAACAGGAUUAGAUACCCUUGUAGUC